Long non-coding RNA from Peromyscus eremicus (cactus mouse), 425 nucleotides. RefSeq lists it as uncharacterized. Lineage: Eukaryota; Metazoa; Chordata; Mammalia; Rodentia; Cricetidae. The record is from RefSeq and is a predicted model, not a curated record. The transcript has 2 exons.
UUCCUGCCUAGAUUAACACAAAUCUUCAUACUAAAGUCCUACACACUUCAAUUUCUAUUGCUCUAAGCAAAUGUCUGGCUUUCAAUGACAAUAUAUAUGAUAUACCAAAAGAUAAGGAUAAUUUACGGAAAGAUAAAACAACCAUCAGAACAAGACACAGAUAUGACAAAGAUGAUGAAACUAUUUUAAAUAUUUUAAACAAUGUAUAACAAUGUUAGACACUCCAGCGGGAAAGGUGGACAUCAUCCAAUGCCAGGAGUGACUAGGAUGACAUGGAAUAGAACACAUGUUGGGGAAAUGUGUUUCAGAAUAUCUCACCAGUUUUUUAAGGGAAGAAACAGCUGCUUUUAGAGAUUUCUUAUGUCUAUUUAGCAAAGGAUGGAAAUGCUUUUACUGUCUCCAAAAUCUAUGUGGAUUUUGCCUCA